RNAcentral lists this ribosomal RNA (425 nucleotides) under uncultured bacterium. RNAcentral's name for it is "partial 16S ribosomal RNA". It matches the Rfam family "Bacterial small subunit ribosomal RNA", at positions 354 to 796 of the family's 1533-position model. The record is from RNAcentral.
GUGGGGAAUCUUGGACAAUGGGCGCAAGCCUGAUCCAGCCAUGCCGCGUGAGUGAAGAAGGCCUUAGGGUUGUAAAACUCUUUCGCCGGUGAAGAUAAUGACGGUAACCGGAGAAGAAGCCCCGGCUAACUUCGUGCCAGCAGCCGCGGUAAUAUGAAGGGGGCUAGCGUUGUUCGGAAUUACUGGGCGUAAAGCGCACGUAGGCGGGUUUGUAAGUAGGGGGUGAAAUCCCAGGGCUCAACCCUGGAACUGCCUUCUAGACUGCAAGCCUGGAGGUCAGGAGAGGCGAGUGGAAUACCGAGUGUAGAGGUGAAAUUCGUAGAUAUUCGGUGGAACACCAGUGGCGAAGGCGACUCGCUGGACUGAUACUGACGCUGAGGUGCGAAAGCGUGGGGAGCAAACAGGAUUAGAAACCCCGGUAGUCC